GCGCAGCCUGGUAGCGCACAUCGUUCGGGACGAUGGGGUCGCAGGUUCAAAUCCUGCCACUCCGACCA
Molecule: transfer RNA, 68 nt
Filed under: bacterium M00.F.Ca.ET.146.01.1.1
Lineage: Bacteria
Description: tRNA-Pro
Rfam family: tRNA
About the family: Transfer RNA (tRNA) molecules are approximately 80 nucleotides in length. Their secondary structure includes four short double-helical elements and three loops (D, anti-codon, and T loops).
Source: RNAcentral